RNAcentral lists this ribosomal RNA (700 nucleotides) under uncultured bacterium. RNAcentral's name for it is "bacterial SSU rRNA". It matches the Rfam family "Bacterial small subunit ribosomal RNA", at positions 94 to 770 of the family's 1533-position model. The record is from RNAcentral.
AGCGGCGCACGGGUGAGUAACACGUGGGUAAUCUACCUUUGGGUCUGGAACAACCCGGGGAAACCCGGGCUAAUGCCGGAUAAGACCACUUUUCACAUGUUUUGUGGGAAAAGCGGGGGACCUCCUCGGAGGCCUCGUGCCUAAAGAUGAGCCCGCGGCCCAUCAGCUAGUUGGCGGGGUAAUGGCCCACCAAGGCAAAGACGGGUAGCUGGUCUGAGAGGAUGAUCAGCCACACUGGAACUGAGACACGGUCCAGACUCCUACGGGAGGCAGCAGUGGGGAAUUUUGCGCAAUGGGCGCAAGCCUGACGCAGCAACGCCGCGUGAGUGAUGAAGGUCUUCGGAUCGUAAAGCUCUGUCGGUAGGAACGAUGCGUUCACUGGCUAACAUCCAGUGGACCUGACGGUACCUACAAAGGAAGCACCGGCUAACUCUGUGCCAGCAGCCGCGGUAAGACAGAGGGUGCAAGCGUUGUUCGGAAUUAUUGGGCGUAAAGCGCGCGUAGGCGGUACGGUAAGUCGGAUGUGAAAUCCCUGGGCUCAACCGAGGAAGUGCAUCCGAAACUGCCGUGCUUGAGUGCCGGAGAGGGUGGUGGAAUUCCCAGUGUAGAGGUGAAAUUCGUAGAUAUUGGGAGGAACACCCGUGGCGAAGGCGACCACCUGGACGGACACUGACGCUGAGGUGCGAAAGCGUGGGGAGCA